RNAcentral lists this long non-coding RNA (514 nucleotides) under Homo sapiens (human). Its description in RNAcentral is "HSALNT0126384". The record is from RNAcentral. Lineage: Eukaryota; Metazoa; Chordata; Mammalia; Primates; Hominidae.
CUCCUGAGUAGCUGGGAUUACAGGCGCCCACCACCACGCCUGGCUAAUUUUUGUAUUUUUAGUAGAGGCAAGGUUUCACCAGGCUGGCCAGGCUGGUCUCGAACUCUUGACCUCAAGUGAUCUGCCCACCUCAGCCUCUCAGUGCUGGGAUUACAUGUGUAAGCCACUGCACCCAGCCUGUUGUUUUAAUUUUUACUUUUUGUAGAGAUGAGGUCUUGCUAUGUUGCCCAGGCUGGUCUUGAACUCAUGGCUGCAAACGAUUCUCCCAUUUCAGCCUCCCAAAGUGUUGGGAUUGUAGACGUGAGCUACAGUGCCUGGCCCUAAAUUUUUAAAAUGCAGUUAAAAUUCGUUUCCAUGUAUUUACAAACAACUUCAAAUAAGAUAAAAUUGUUUUCCCUAGAUUUGAAAAACUUAGGGUACAUACCCUUGCAAAUUUCAGUUUCUAAUACCGAUUUUGCAUGUGGUUAGAGAUUUAGUUUUUGGAAUAAAGAACGCAGUGAGGGAGGCCAGGUGC